CUCUCAGACCCACUCCUGGGAAACAUUCUGCACAAACAGUCCCAUUUCCCAGGUGGGGAGGGUGAGACUGGAGGCGCGCUUGUCUUCAGCACCCUACAUGUCAAGGGCCAGGUUAGGCCCUGUGGGUCUGCAGGGCCAGCCCCUCUACCUCACAACUGCUUCCUCCAGCGUUGAGUGGCACUUCCUCCUGACUCUCAGCCUCUCUGGUUAUUAAUAGCCUCAGAGCACAGAUGCUGGUUAAGUUACAGACCCAGCGCCCACGGUGGGUAACUGACAAGACACACUCUGGAGUCUCCAUCAACUCUUUCACUGCCACCUCGGUACAUUCCUCCUACAAGUGGCCAGAGCAGCCCCUGCUGGCGUCAGGGACAGCCCCAGUGGGGAUGAGUCAGAAGCUGGAGAUACUGUGGAUGCCCUCAGUGAGGCCAGGGCACGCCGGAAGGGGUGAGUGGGCAGAGGCAAGACAAGGACGCCAGACUCCCGCCUGGGCCAGCCCCCUCCGUCAUCCUCAUCACUGACAUCACCUUCCACAUGCCUGCCUCCCUUCUUCUCACCAUGACCUGCCUUCUGGGCACCCACAGGCUGAGUGACCCCAGGACAAGCCCCUCGGCUCCAGGCCCCAGUUCCUCUCUGGCCCAGAGCAGGGGAGUUCCCAGCAGAGAAAACCACCCCAGAUGAGUCAUCAGAGAGCAGAAUCACAUGUAGAGGAGAACAUGAAUUCCAAGCUGCAGCAACUUCUGCCUUCCCAUCCACAGCUGAGAUCCAUUGAAUGCUUGCUGUGUGCCAAGACUUGUGACAGGCACAUGGCACAAAACAUCUCAUUUCAGCCUCUAGUCUACUUUUUAAAAGAGGCAUAAUUGUCUCCAUUUUGCCGAGUAGGAAAUCAAGCCUUUUCCAAAGAGGGCAUUUGCUUCCUCUAGCCUGCUUGGUGAACUCCUAUUCAUCCUGCAAAGCCCACCUCCUUGAUUAUGUGAAUUAACCCUUUCUGUGUCCCUCGGAAACUGAGGUAAGCCUCUUUGCUGCACCCUUCCUGUUGGGUCAUUAUGUACCUCUAGGCAUUUACCCUCAUUAGACUGAGUUUGGGGAGGACAGGACUGGACUUGAUUCCUAUCUGGGUGCCGGGAAGGCAGCUAACACAUUGUAAGUGGUGGUAAGUAUGCGUAGCUUGAUCUGAAUUGUUUGCCGCUGUGCCUAAUCAG
This is a long non-coding RNA of Manis pentadactyla (Chinese pangolin), 1199 nucleotides long. RefSeq lists it as uncharacterized. The transcript is spliced from 4 exons. NCBI's taxonomy places the organism in Eukaryota, Metazoa, Chordata, Mammalia, Pholidota, Manidae. The record is from RefSeq and is a predicted model, not a curated record.